UAAGACGAACCGUGCGAACGUUGUUCGGAAUCACUGGGCUUAAAGGGCGCGUAGGCGGCGCAGCGAGUCCGGGGUGAAAUCCUCCGGCCCAACCGGAGACGGGCCUCGGAGACCGCUGCGCUCGAGGGGGGCAGGGGCAGGUGGAACUUCCGGUGGAGCGGUGAAAUGCGUUGAGAUCGGAAGGAACGCCGGCGGCGAAAGCGACCUGCUGGGCCCUCUCUGACGCUGAGGCGCGAAAGCCAGGGGAGCGAACGGGAUUAGAUACCCCGGUAGUCCUGGCCCUAAACGAUGGGUACCAGGCAGGGGACCAGACACGGGUUCCCUGCCGGAGCUAAAGUGCUAAGUACCCCGCCUGGGGAGUAUGGUCGCAAGGCUG
RNAcentral lists this ribosomal RNA (376 nucleotides) under uncultured bacterium. RNAcentral's name for it is "bacterial SSU rRNA". It matches the Rfam family "Bacterial small subunit ribosomal RNA", at positions 521 to 896 of the family's 1533-position model. The record is from RNAcentral.